CAAAUUCGAAGAUGGCUAAAUUUUGCACCAUUCGAUAGCAAAAAUUCAAAGAAAUCUUGUUUGUUUGGACGAAAACUGCGCUUAUGUGGUUGCUUUUUUCACAAAAUGCGAUUUAAUAUUUUCCAUACAAUUUUCUAUAGAAGCCAUUGAAUGAACAGGUGGCGCCGCGAGUAGUUCAACAUUAUAAAUUCAAUUUGAUAUUUUAACCUCAAAAUAAAUGUUUUUGUUUUCAUUUUUGUGUUCGCGUCUAUACUGUACGUCCGGAAUACGUGAGUUUUUGGUGGUGCCCCACGCUUUGGGCAAGCAUGUGACCUUGAUCGUGUUGUGAAAUUAUUAUUGUCACACCGGGACGCUUUAUUGAUUUCCUUUAAAUAUUAAAAGAAAUCUCCGUCGGUGCAUAUGAUUUUGUACUCAAUCAGCCCAACCGGAUGCUGGAAAUCAGAUUCUCUUGUAAAUCCAUUCCGACUGUCAAAAGCCACGCGAGGUACGCCGGAUAUCGCUGAAUUUCAUCGGGAAGAAAUACCUGUGAGCACCGCAUCCAGAGGUUCUUCUCAACCAUUGUCUACGUGAGUGUCUUCUCGGCGAUCGAAUGCGGGAUCCUGGCGAUCAUUUAUGGCACCUACAUUGCCCGUGUGAUGCGCUUCAAUCGAACCAGACCACCAAGAAACUCGCUAGCAAACUUGAUAAAGCAACGUGUACGGGCAGCUUCUAUUCUUCUCGAAGGACCUUCCUACUUGAGUCCCAAAGUGGGCCUAUUGAGCGACACCUGUUCUCACCCAACAACUGAUUCAGGAUCCCAGUGGAGUCGCUGACCCAACAUCACGGAACCCCAUUCACGCAAUACCAGCAAAAUAAGUUACUACUCAGAUACACGGAAACCCCACAGGAAGUGUCCACACGAAAGGCACGAAAAUUUGCUGUAAAAAUUAGAAUUAGACAAGGAAUCACGCUCUAUAAUUUUAGGUCAUUUUAUUAGCAAGCUUUUACUGUUUUUAAUUCUCAAGUUGUUUAUUCUGUAUAAAAAGAUCAUUCAAGGGGGGAAAUCGAUAUGAUUGUGUGUGUGUGUGUGUGUUAAAUAAGACCGGAAAGGCAAAGAAAAUUAAAUAAAAGUAUAGAAGAAA
Lutzomyia longipalpis is the source of this 1121-nucleotide long non-coding RNA. RefSeq lists it as uncharacterized. The transcript has 2 exons. Lineage: Eukaryota; Metazoa; Arthropoda; Insecta; Diptera; Psychodidae. The record is from RefSeq and is a predicted model, not a curated record.